GGAGACUUUUGGGUUAUCUGAAAGGAAUCACUGAACAUUGCUUGGACUCCAGCACAAGGCAGCUCAUGCUCUAAGGCAGUCUGACAACUCUGACAGCCAGGCACAAGAGCCUUCAUCACAAAUAUGCAUGCGGUAGUCUCAGAGCAACAGGCCUGAUUGGAGACUUUGGCUUGCAUCACAAUGAAUGUCACUGUUGCCUAGUGACAAGUUCCUGCAUCUUGGUAAAAAAGCAGUCCUCCAUGUGUCAGCUGUGGACUCUCAUCUGUCUCCUCUGUGGAAUCCAUGGAAUAUUCAAAUGAUCUUAGGAGAGGAGAGACAUCAGCAAGCCUAAAGAAAUGUAAAGCAGAGCCCCAGGAAUAAAUUGUGAAAUCCGUAAGGUUACCAAAUGAUCUGCAGGAUUCUUCAUUUCUGCCUCGAUAUUGUAGGGUCUCAGGGUCAAAAUUGCCUCCCCUCCAAUGAAAAUCCUCUCUUUUAGAGGAAGAAGAGUACACCACAUCCAAGAACAGACAUCUUCCAGUGUUUUAUUGUCCUGUGGCAAACCAAAGAAGAAAUACUAACAGUCUUGUCUGCCGGCCCCUUGAAUUUACCUUGAGUUGGGUUCCCAGCUGAGUAGUUGCUUCAUGUCAUGAGAGAACACUCCUCCAUCAUCUUUGGAUUUCACCAUGGGACAGAGAGUGUGAGCAGGAAGAAGUUUAGAUAGGGGU
Long non-coding RNA from Symphalangus syndactylus (siamang), 704 nucleotides. RefSeq lists it as uncharacterized. The record is from RefSeq and is a predicted model, not a curated record. Lineage: Eukaryota; Metazoa; Chordata; Mammalia; Primates; Hylobatidae.